GUCCUGCUCAAGUACCGCUGUUGCUUACAGUGGAGAUCCGACCCGACCUUGUUUGGAGCUGCCAAGCAGGACAUCAACCUUGCCUGGAGCAACACAACUGGUCCUUCUAGUUUGUUGUGCAGGUCCUGCUCAAGUACCGCUGUUGCCUACAGUGGAGAUCCGACCCAACCUUGUUUGGAGCCGCCAAGCAGGACAUCAACCUUGCCUGGAGCAACACAGCUGGUCCUUCUUGUUUGUUGUGCAGGCAGAGUGUGCCAAUGGCACCCCAUAUGAUGGCAUCAUCUCAACCAACAUCAAACAUCUGUAACUAUUUCAAAAUAUCACCAAAUGAAAAUUUUGCCAAUUGCAACCUGUGCCCAGCUAAAAUAUCCAGAGGAAAAGACUCCCAUACCACCUCAGCUAGCUAUGUGGAAACAUUUGAAAACAAAACAUUUCUCCAAGGAACUGAAAGGCACACCAUCACCACUAUUGCGUCCAGCUUCCCCCUCAGACCCUCGGUCUAUCAGUGAGGAUUUAACAUCCGAAGACCUAGAUGAAGAAUUAGCUUUUGUUCACAGUCCGGUAUCAACGUCUAGUCCAGCUCCUAGUCCAGGAUCAUCAGAGUCAUCGUUUACAGCAAGUCUGUUCAAACCACCCCCACGGAAACGCAAAGCAGUAACACCACCUUCUCAGCAAUGGACUAUGCCAGCCUUACUAGACAAAAAUUCUAAUUUUCAAACCAGGAGACAAAAGAGCUAAAACAGUUACACGAUUAGUCGCUGAAAUGAUCUGCCAGGA
Molecule: long non-coding RNA, 777 nt
Organism: Bufo gargarizans (Asiatic toad)
Lineage: Eukaryota; Metazoa; Chordata; Amphibia; Anura; Bufonidae
Exons: 3
Source: RefSeq, a predicted model, not a curated record